UACGUAGGGAGCGAGCGUUGUCCGGAUUUAUUGGGCGUAAAGCGUGCGUAGGUGGUUCGAUAAGUUAGAUGUUAAAUACAUGGGCUCAACCCGUGUUUGCGUCUAAAACUGUUGGACUAGAGGAUGGGAGAGGAAAGCGGAACUCACAGUGUAGCGGUGAAAUGCGUAGAUAUUGUGAGGAACACCAGUGGCGAAGGCGGCUUUCUGGACCAUUUCUGACGCUGAGGCACGAAAGCAUGGGGAGCAAACAGG
RNAcentral lists this ribosomal RNA (252 nucleotides) under uncultured bacterium. Its description in RNAcentral is "partial 16S ribosomal RNA". It matches the Rfam family "Bacterial small subunit ribosomal RNA", at positions 524 to 776 of the family's 1533-position model. The record is from RNAcentral.